This 334-nucleotide unclassified non-coding RNA is filed under the name uncultured fungus. RNAcentral's name for it is "sequence contains ITS1". Lineage: Eukaryota; Fungi. The record is from RNAcentral.
CAUGCGAGCAACGCGAAGGCGGCUGGUUCGAUGCUUUGCACUGGCCAGCCCAAUUCGGCCGAUGUGACGGUGACAAUUUCGGGCGACACUUCAUGGAGAGCGCUUGCGAUGGCAUUCCGUAACACUGGAUUGGUCGCGCCGCCCCCUGCCAGAAUUACCCUAUCCGGAAGCGACCCCAAGUGGCGCUCAUAGGAAGAGGCGAUUGCUUUCGCGGUGAAGGCGGUAAGAGUUGCGAGCACAUCGCAGGGCGACAACCGCGCGCGUGUCAGAUGCGUCAGUUCCCGCUGCCAGAAGCUCUCACCGAAUAGUUCACGUCCGGUGCUUUUCGGGGGCG